UUUGGCAUUUACAAUACUGCAACCAUAGUAAAUCACAGUUGAUCUCUAAAAACUUCUGUUGACAUGUCUUCUUGACACUUUAGGUUAUUAGGUUAUUUAUUUCCAUAUUGUUACAGGAUCACUAUAUUUAUUUGUUUGGGGACUAAUUGCACAUCUGUAUUUGUGAGGAAUAUAAUAUAGAAACUUGCAAGUUGUACUGUUCCAUUUUUUUUCCAGUUCCACAGUAUUAUCAUUUUGCUGCAUUUAGCAGGUGCAAGGUAAGUGUAUCUUAUAACAUACUGUUAGUCUCUGCUUAGUGACUUUCUUUAUAUCUUCUAGAACUUCCUCCCAAUAUGAUUUUAAUUUUGGACAGGUGAACCAAAACCAAAUAUGAACGUGGGUACCUCUAUCCUGUUCACAUCUCCAACAUUUAUCAGAGCUGUUUGGGAACAUUUUCUUAAGUUUCAACGGUGUAUAAUGCCACCUGAUUGUUGCACAGAGCUCAGCUGACCCCUCAAUACGCAUUUUUUUGUUUCCCACAAUGUUAUAGGUAUAUUGCUGCCCUGGCUAGUGACUGCACAGAGCUCUUCCGUCAGGCAACCAUCCGGCGCGAAGGCUCCGGGACCUUAUUGCAUGGCAGGCAAUUUCUCCAUACAUCAUACAGAUGACCUCCCCCUGUGGCUGAUACACCUGACCUUCCUCCAGCAAGCCAUCUAAUCUCUGCUUGGGCAGGAAGACCAGGAUAAUACAUGCCUUGUCUCUAAUAAAUGACUUAAUGAAGCACAUGGCCAGCUGAAAGGAAGAGAGUACUGGGCCUGGCUGAGCUAAAAGUUGAGAAACCUGCUAAUACAAUGGAAAAUAAGAGACCUGAGCAGGAAAUGAAGCAGAAAGGCUACUGUGAAAUAAUAUAUAUUAUAAAGCGUUAUAUUAAAUAAUUAUAAUAAUAUAGCUUUACAUUCAUAAAAAAGAAAGAGCCCAGAAAUUCUGCCAUCCUAUGAAAAAUUACAUGUGAAUCGAAUCUUAUCAGAGGUGUUCCAUUACUAGUAGCAAGUGUGAUGACGCAGACAGGGGGGUCUGUGGAAUGUACCUACUGGGGACCAGCACAAUAAGAGGUAAGAGAUUACACCAGGCGUCUUUUACGGUGGCAAAUAAUGACAAACAAAACCAGGAUGGGGACUGUCAUGGACAGACUUGAAGGCAUAAAGCAUUACUAUCAUAGGGCUUUCCAAACCUCUGGGUUGUUUAGACACAGUAGGUUUAAUCUAUAAAAUACACAAUAUCUAACCAUAUUCUUUUUUUACUUUGGUUCUUCUCGUGUAGGAUAUAUGCUACCUAAUCAAGUUGAAAAAUGUGGACAAUUUGUUACUGGAUGUGCUGUGGCAGACCUUACUUUCUAAUCAGGUAAUGUAAUUAAAAUGGCAAAUUUGCAGAUGGGUAGUAAACCAAAGUAAACAGGUCUUGGCUUUCUAAAAACUGAACAGUAAAGUGUAUCUGCUUGUUAUUGGUAACUAGACCUGUACCAGAUGUUGCACCUUUUAUUACAUUACCCCAAAGGGACUUAAUACACAUAACCCCCUUACUUUAAUUUUUGCAAACGUUGUUGAUGUUAUGUAAUACAAGUGAAUUCUGAAUUCAGAGUACAAUGGAAAGGAAGUUCAUUAAAGGGUUGUGGCAUCAGAAUCCAAUUUUUUGCUUUGGUGUGUGUGUGUGGUAUUAUACAGUAUUGAUGUGUUAAGCUAUUCUUGUGUCAGUUAUUUUUGUUUUCAUUAGUUCUUUUUUUAAUUACUAUCUAUGGUAAUAAUGAUGGUUACAUGCUUAGAUUGCUUAGAUAUCAAGACAAUUAUUGUUAGUGAUAGUGAUAAUGUUCCUCACGUAUUGGGACUGGAAAUGGAUAUAUAUGGUAUCCUGGCAGAAAUGACUUACUAUUUGGUGAGGAAUGCUUUUCGAUCCAGUUUAUUUAUUUCAGACCUUUACCUUAAUUGUAUUUAGUUAGGUUACAAUGUCCCACUAGCAUUGUUGAGGUUAGUGGCUUGCCUUUGUUGAGUGCCUGGUGUAAGAAUUAUGUAUGUUAUUUGGUGAUUACCACCUACUGGCUGUAGUGUCAUUUGUACAUAUCUCUUUGUUCGCACCUGCCAAAUAAUGACCAAUGGAGGAUCAGCUCAAAAGUAGCUUCUUCUUUAGAGUGUGAUGUGAAGUUAAGUAUCAUUUUUUUUACAUAUAUGUAAUAAUGUUCCCCCUGUUGUAAAUGUCACAGUGUAAAAAUACACAAAAUUGCUGUAAUAUUUUUUUUUAAAUAAAUGAUGUCCCCAAAAAAAAAUGUACACAAAUCAAACUUAAAUACUGUAGUUAGAGAAUGGUAGCAUAGUUUUCAAAAACACCCGGAGCUUCAAUCACUGUGUUCCUUUUGCACGCAGCACGAAUUAAACUUCAAAGCUUUUCCGAAGAAAGGAAAAAAGUAAUUGUAUUCACUUGUCCACUGAAAGUUUAUGCCUGCCAGAGCCAUUUACUGGGGCUGCUUAACAGCUUUGUUGAGGUGUUUAUCCUUUCGAGAUAGUUCAUAGCUCUCUGCAUUUGGGGAAUAGAAAAAGAUUCAGACUAUGCCAAGCAUUCAGGAUAGUGUUUGCUAGUCAAGCACAAUGUUGCAACUCAUCUACAUAAUCCCUUCAUCUUGUUUGCGACAGGGAGAGGCCGAGGAUAGUGGCAUGUCAAAUUUGACAGCUUUAUUAAACUGGAAAGACUAUACUCGUAUCCCUGUUGUUUAAAUCGUUUUAGUAACUAUAACAUGCUUCAGGAAACAAAAAAACUAUUUACUUGUUAUACUUUUCUUUUGUAUUUUAAACAGAGAAAAACUCCAGUUCACUAAACAAAUUUAUUUUUAAUAUUUGCUGUAUUUAUUAUUUUGCAAUAAA
Long non-coding RNA from Xenopus laevis (African clawed frog), 2888 nucleotides. RefSeq lists it as uncharacterized. The transcript has 4 exons. Lineage: Eukaryota; Metazoa; Chordata; Amphibia; Anura; Pipidae. The record is from RefSeq and is a predicted model, not a curated record.